Vicia villosa (hairy vetch) is the source of this 617-nucleotide long non-coding RNA. RefSeq lists it as uncharacterized. Lineage: Eukaryota; Viridiplantae; Streptophyta; Magnoliopsida; Fabales; Fabaceae. The transcript is spliced from 2 exons. The record is from RefSeq and is a predicted model, not a curated record.
UCAAUUUUCAAUUUCCAUGACUCUGAUAUUUUAGGGUUUUCUUCGGUUUGUCAUUGUUUUGCUGCAGAAUUUGAUGAAGAAAGUUAUUGAGUCCACAAGCAUAUGACUGGUCGAUGUUGAUCGGUGAUGCGUGGCUGAAUGAAGGACAUGGAUCCGAUUGCAGUUUGAAGAUUGGGCGAAGUUAUGCUGAUGAAGAUGAACGAACGAGUUGCGAAGAAAACUUGUGUGUUAGAUGGAAUAUCAUGGCAAAAGGCUUUGGUUCCCACAUGUUGUGAACCUGAAACUCACCCAUUUCCUUCUUUCCUUUGCAGAUAUGUUGCAAACACUGCUGUUUGGUCAAAGAGUUUAGAAACACAGAUUAAAGAUGAAGAUUGAUUAUGAAGAAUUUGAAGGUGGAGAAGGCACGAAAUUUAGGACAUUGUUUCUUCUCUUUUUUAGACAUUAGGAUGAGUUUUGCUGCAAGUUUCAUGUAAUGGCAUCAUUGUUUCUUCUCUUUUUUAGACAUUAGGAUGAGUUUUGCUGCAAGUUUCAUGUAAUGGCAAUGAUGCAUGUGUCUUUGACUUGGAGUGUAAUGAAAAUGUAGGAUCCCCUCUUUAAAUAGUGUUUGUUUAAAUUUC